GUGUCAGCCGCCGCGGUAAUACAGAGGUGGCAAGCGUUGUUCGGAAUUACUGGGCGUAAAGGGCGCGUAGGCGGUUCCGUAAGUCCCGCGUGAAAUCCCCCGGCUCAACUGGGGAACUGCGCGGGAAACUUCGGGGCUUGAGUUCGGGAGAGGGAAGCGGAAUUCCGGGUGUAGCGGUGAAAUGCGUAGAUAUCCGGAGGAACACCGGUGGCGAAGGCGGCUUCCUGGACCGACACUGACGCUGAUGUGCGAAAGCUAGGGGAGCAAACGGGAUUAGAAACCCCCGUAGUCC
This 292-nucleotide ribosomal RNA is filed under the name uncultured bacterium. RNAcentral's name for it is "partial 16S ribosomal RNA". It matches the Rfam family "Bacterial small subunit ribosomal RNA", at positions 505 to 796 of the family's 1533-position model. The record is from RNAcentral.